Molecule: long non-coding RNA, 4700 nt
Organism: Tympanuchus pallidicinctus (lesser prairie-chicken)
Lineage: Eukaryota; Metazoa; Chordata; Aves; Galliformes; Phasianidae
Exons: 2
Source: RefSeq, a predicted model, not a curated record
UUUUUGAAUCAAGAAAAGGUGUUUUUUUUUUUUUUUGUAUUUUACUUUUUAAACAUGUAGGAAAAGGGGAGAAAGAUCAAUUAUCCAAACCAGGUGUGUGGGAACUGUUGAGUCACAGGCUGAACCACUGAUUGAGCAGCUGGGAAAGGACCCGGUCAGCCCUGGGAGCACAGGUGAAGGCAAUUUAGUGCUACCAGAAGGGUUGGAGCCUGGCUGCACCUCUCUUAGACCUUAUUUAAGGGCUGACUGCCAGUGGGGAAAGAUCUCUUUCUGCAGAUCCCUUCUUGGUGAAGCUUUUCCCUGUGAAUCUGGAAUCUUCUGUUGUAGGUGAGCAAUCUUCUUCCCUUCCUUUCUGUUGUGCCAGUCCUUCCAUCAUCACACCUUUGUUGUAACGCCUUUCCUAUCGUAUUGAUCUAAUAGCUGCAGCAGGGAACAAUCUGUAAUUAUGUAAUCUGAAACAAAAAGCGUGGAGGCCUGGCUCCUCAAGUCCUCAAGUCUUGAAUACUCAGACUUGCAUAUUAUGAAGAUUCAUGGCUUCAAAUUUACUCUCAACUACUGGAGUGAGUGUCAUUCUUAACUAAGUCAUCCAGUAGUUAUACACACCACAAAAUCAUCUGCGUGUUUAAUGUAGAGCAGAGAAUUUCUAUGGAGAAAUCUAUAGCUUUUAAUUCAGUGAUGAAUCAUUUAUGGGAUUUUGGAUUAUUCACUUUGCACUGAAUUGAGUUGUCUCUUUCACAAAGACCACCCCCCCCCAACGUGCUCUGUGUCACAGACUGAGCCCCGUGGUGAUGUAUGUUGCUGGGAUGAAUUAUUUAUUGGAUGUUUUAAAUCACUUGUUCGGUGGUGAACUAAGUCAGUUAAUUUUAAAUGUGCUCAUAUCUAUUCUUAAGUGCACAAAAUGACUUUACAUACACAAUAUUCAUCUCUCUUUCUUCUUUCCUUUUGUGUACAAUAACGAUUUAUCCAUGAGGUUUGGGUUGAGCUAGUUUUGGAUGUGAUCAAACUUUCCUUUGAGGGAGGCAGUGACUUGUCCUGGGGGUUUGCCCCACCUGUUCUUGGGCCUGGUGUGCAGCAGGUGUGUGCACGAGCCUAUCAACUCUCAGCUGCAUCUUAUUUCAAAAACACAGGGAAGGGAUCACUAUUUCUUAGCAUGUAGUGCACAAGAUGCAGUUCUCUCAAUCCUCAAGAAGUUCAGCAGUGAACUUCUCAAUGGAUUGUAUCAAUAGUACUGAGAGCAGGGAAAUUCCCAUAGAUUUCUGUGAUCAAACACUGAUUUUAUUUUUUCUCUUGACCUGCAAGGCUCAGCGGAUAAUGGGGACGGCUCUUUGCUAGGGCUUUCCUGUGAGCACUGCUUCAAGGACAAGGGAAAAUCAGCCUCUUCACUGACUGGGUGACUGCGAAUUCCAAGGACUGAAGACCUGGAUGGUUUCACGGGAGCAUCCUGCUAUUGUUGGUGCUAUUGGUGCUAUUGUUGGUUGUAUAUUGGUGUGUCCUACCAGCAUCCUCAUCUGCUGAUGCUCGAGUGCACAGCCAGCAACCAACAUUUCCUCAGUUGAGUUACACCUUCAGCCCAGGACGAUCUCUCUUAACGUUUAGGUUAUUUUCUCACGUUUCUCUUUCCAAGUAACCUUACCUUCUGUACACACCUAAAGAAUUCCAGGUUAUUUUCACUCCUCUCCAUGAAGGAAAUUAAAGGCUUCCUGCUGCUGUAUGCUCUCACAUGCAUCUAUGUGAUAAACCUGUGUUUUUCCUGCCCAGUUCCAAAAAGCACCAUUAAAGUUAAUGCAUUUCAGGUAUGAGGGCAACCAGAGAAAGGAUUAAUUUCUGUAAUCUUUGGUCUUUUCUCAUUGUCUUUUGCAAUGUGAAACUUAAAGCCAUAACUGCAAAUAAAGAAAAUAUGUCUUUUGUUGAAAACAAAUGCAGCUAACCAUAUAUAUAUGUUUGUGCAUGUAUGCUAUGACAACAAAAGUUAAUCUCUUCUAAGACCACCUGUCACUGCAAACUAGGUAUGAUGCAAACUGACCAGGUUAUUCACAGGUUUCCAUAGGAAUCUCUGCUCAGCCUUCAAGUAGUUUCUAGAGGGGGGAUUCUUGAUUCAGAUAUUGUUUUGCUGUACUGCAGGUAGGACUGCUAGGUGAAUGCCUUAAGCUUUUUUCUUUGUGCAUUGUGAUACUUGUGAUUAAAUGAGGGGAAAAAAAACCCAACAAACUCUUAAAAUCCAGGUGUUUGACAGCAUGUGACUGAGAGAAACAAAUACACAUCACUUCAUUUUCUAAACAUGUAUACCUACAGAGGUCACACACCUAUUUUCACAGUUACUGGCCUCCCCUUUUCAAUGACUUCCUUUCAUUUUUACAUAUCUUUGUACUCUACAGCCACUCAUUUCACUGACUACCAGGUAACACACUUCAGUAAAGUUUAAAAGUCAACCAAAGCAAAGGUACGUGGAGAACACAUGUGGUUGUACCAUUUUAGGAUCUCUGCUUUUGCUAAUAGCAAAAUCUUUUUACUUUACGCCCGCCCUCCCAACUCUUUACAGCAGAAGGGUCAUACAUGACAUAUGCAUAAGGUACUGGUGUACAGCUAAACACUGACAGUCAGUACUGAAGUGUGGCAUUGAAAGCAAAUUUAACAAGGUCCCAAAACCCUGUAAAGUUAAGAGCUACAACACAUAAAAGCAUUUAUCUUUAUCUGGUUGCCUCAGGGACAUUGACACUAGUAUCACAGUCUCUUGAUUAGCAUUUCAAUGUUUGCAAUGCACAUAGCUGCAAUGCAGGACCCCACACGGUGCAGUCAGUUCAGCUCCACAGCCACCACAGCUGCUGGCACUGUUUCCUCUGGCAUUAGUGCCCUGAAUUCUCACCCAUCAGGCUCCUGCCUUAGCUCAGGCCAUGAAGACAUUGGCAUCUCUUCCAUUGGGCUCAGCAUGAACAAAUUCACCACCCACCCCAGCCUUGCCUUAGUGUUAAGAGGUAAAACUAAACUCUGAUUUGAGAUAAAUGCCAUCUCCCCUCAUAGCAAAUGCUCAAUUGAACUAAACUGCAGGCCCAAUUCAUAAAGAAAUACACAAACCCUUAAUUGUUUUUGGCAUUUAUCAACAGCAGGUAGAGUGUAUGUACAGGGAUGUUGUGACUUACUUUGCACUCAGGGAAAACCAACCCAUACAGAUAAAGCAAUUGUGAGUGGUUUCUGAACAAGGCAGGAGGAAAACCGAACCUUAAUCAUCUGCCUCUCCCAGCAGGUGAGUUAGUCACACCACAACUGCCCCAGAGAACAAACUAUGAACUGUGAGGUGGCUGGAUGUGACUGCAUGCUGCUUUUUAAACAAAAAUGCAAUCUUUCCCCCGGACUCUCAUAGAUGCAAACCUGCUUGCCCUGGUUUGCCACUCACUGAACAGCAGAGGAUUACUCACACGGCCAACUCAAGACCAAGCAGCAUCAUCUGAACUGUGGUCUUAAAACUGAAGUGAGGGUCAAAUGUUUUUCAAGUCUCUGCAUGGGUUCAGUCUCCAUGCACAGAGAAAAUCAUUUUACGCUUUUUAAAAUGGAGACAAAAUGGUAGAAUAUAUUGAACUCCUUUAUCUAGGCAUAAUUAAGGUACCCAUUGUUCACUUUCUGCAGAAAACAGUAGCGGCACAGAGGUGUAAGGCUGUCCUCUAACAGCUCCCCCACAGACAGUCAUACCAGAAUUAACGUUCUUAAGCAAUCUCAUGGUCUUCCCAAGUUAUGAGGGUGCUCAUCUCAUCCAAGACCGCAAUGAAAAAGACCAUCAGAUCAAAGUGAAAUUACUGCAGAGCAGCCCAAGGUAUUUGGGAUGAGGACUGACCACCGGGCACUGGGGGUCAGAGUAAAGGAUUUGGACACAGUAUCCCCCCUGGGCCACUCCUUGUGCUCAGCCCCAUGCUACCAACUGGCACUGGUACCUUCAGGAAAGGGAAAGUUAACCCAACUUGUUUUCUGUACAGGAUGUACCUCCUGCAGCAUGCAUCUUCACAACCACUCAUGUGCUUGCAAACAUGGGAUUUGUUUAUGAAUUGGGCCAUGCUUGAUACAAUGCCUGUGACCAGUAUUAAAUGAAACAGGGAAAAAAAUCUAUAGAAAAUGUAGGACUAUGAAUGGGACUUCACUUGUGAUCCCAGAGGUAACAUACACAGUAUUUUGCUAUAUUUAACGUGGUAAAAAAAAACAACAGUUGUCACUCUCGGUGCCCCUACAGUCUUAAUACAUUUCAUUAAUAUCUGUUUUAAGUUGCACAACCAUUUCCCAAGACACCCUCCUGUCCCUCCCCCCAAAUAAACUAGUUUUUAUAACAAGAUAAAUAUGAUGUGCUUCUCCUUGCUGAGUGCAUUGACUUAAGGCAUAGGCACAAUUCCCCUCUUUGAACAGAGAUGGUAUAGUCCUGUGUCCCAAUACAAUUGUUAUCCUGGGUGACCCUUUGCAUUCGAACAUUGACUCAAGAUAAUAAUUACAGGAAUAAUUCAUUAACAAAUAAUUUGAAUUUGUUCAUUAAUCUGAAAGCAUCAGAGAUAUAUAUGUAGAUAACUCAAUCCUCUUUCAGAAAUAAAUUUUAUGGGAGUGUUGCUUUGUUGGGAAGCAACAUCCAAUCAAAAUGCCAUGGAUAUCUUCCCAUUGAGUCCAGCCAGUUUGGGAUCAGGCUAGAAUCAAUCAUUUAAGAACAUCAAACCCUGGUACUUUUCAGA